This 465-nucleotide ribosomal RNA is filed under the name Vreelandella stevensii. RNAcentral's name for it is "partial 16S ribosomal RNA". It matches the Rfam family "Bacterial small subunit ribosomal RNA", at positions 338 to 795 of the family's 1533-position model. The record is from RNAcentral. Lineage: Bacteria; Pseudomonadati; Pseudomonadota; Gammaproteobacteria; Oceanospirillales; Halomonadaceae.
CCUACGGGGGGCAGCAGUGGGGAAUAUUGGACAAUGGGGGGAACCCUGAUCCAGCCAUGCCGCGUGUGUGAAGAAGGCCCUCGGGUUGUAAAGCACUUUCAGUGAGGAAGAACGCCUGGUGGUUAAUACCCAUCAGGAAAGACAUCACUCACAGAAGAAGCACCGGCUAACUCCGUGCCAGCAGCCGCGGUAAUACGGAGGGUGCGAGCGUUAAUCGGAAUUACUGGGCGUAAAGCGCGCGUAGGUGGCUUGAUAAGCCGGUUGUGAAAGCCCCGGGCUCAACCUGGGAACGGCAUCCGGAACUGUCAAGCUAGAGUGCAGGAGAGGAAGGUAGAAGUCCCGGUGUAGCGGUGAAAUGCGUAGAGAUCGGGAGGAAUACCAGUGGCGAAGGCGGCCUUCUGGACUGACACUGACACUGAGGUGCGAAAGCGUGGGUAGCAAACAGGAUUAGAUACCCCGGUAGUC